This is a long non-coding RNA of Coregonus clupeaformis (lake whitefish), 775 nucleotides long. RefSeq lists it as uncharacterized. The record is from RefSeq and is a predicted model, not a curated record. The transcript is spliced from 3 exons. NCBI's taxonomy places the organism in Eukaryota, Metazoa, Chordata, Actinopteri, Salmoniformes, Salmonidae.
GCACCAAGGGCUAACCUAUUGUGUGUUGUCUCGUGGUGUGCAGCUACUUCCUGUGCUACGAGGACGUCCCUGAGGAGCCUGCUGAGGGGGGCGAUGGAGAGGGUAAAGGGGAGACGGUUGCUAUAGGCAACGUGGUCAGGAUGUGGUCAAUCGGUCAGUGGGUCCAAACGCAGCCUGAACCUGUGACAGACGACAUCUACGAAUGGGUGCUGUGCUGGGUUCCACAGGCUCAGUACCACAGGCUUUUGUGUCUGGGAGGAGAGGAGCCCACUGCCUGCAGUGCUACUGACUGUCUACUGGGGGCGUUGUUCUCUCAACAGAGCCCAGUGGAAAGCCCCAGUCCUGAAACAACAUAAAGAGACAAGCCACUUUUCUAGAACUAUCUUUGACCAUAACAUGUUCCCAUUGAUUAAAGGAUUUAACAUUACUUAUUGUUAGUUUUACAUUGUGUUAUGUUCGGCUAAUGUUUCCAAAUCUAAGUAACUAUUGGGAAGGACAUUAAGGACUGAACACUGAAAUAGCUCUGGUUCCAACUAGCCAGUCAUCCAUGACAAAUGUUUUUCUUAUGGUUCCUUACAUAUUGUAUAAAAAUAAAUAUAAUUUCUAAAGAUAGCAAGUUUUAUUACCAAUUCCCUACCAGCUAGUGAUACAUUUGAACUGUAUCUGAUGUCUGUUCAUAUUCAAGGUUAUAUUGAGCACGUAUGUAUGUUACUGUAUUGUGUGGUUGUUGGAAAUCAUUUUGUAUGAUGUUAAGAAUAAAAGUAUUGACCUGUCA